GACGAACGCUGGCGGCGUGCUUAACACAUGCAAGUCGAACGGAAAGGCCCUGCUUUUGUGGGGUGCUCGAGUGGCGAACGGGUGAGUAACACGUGAGUAACCUGCCCUUGACUUUGGGAUAACUUCAGGAAACUGGGGCUAAUACCGGAUAGGAGCUCCUGCUGCAUGGUGGGGGUUGGAAAGUUUCGGCGGUUGGGGAUGGACUCGCGGCUUAUCAGCUUGUUGGUGGGGUAGUGGCUUACCAAGGCUUUGACGGGUAGCCGGCCUGAGAGGGUGACCGGCCGCAUUGGGACUGAGAUACGGCCCAGACUCCUACGGGAGGCAGCAGUGGGGAAUAUUGCACAAUGGGCGGAAGCCUGAUGCAGCAACGCCGCGUGCGGGAUGACGGCCUUCGGGUUGUAAACCGCUUUCGCCUGUGACGAAGCGUGAGUGACGGCAAUGGGUAAAGAAGCACCGGCUAACUACGUG
Molecule: ribosomal RNA, 468 nt
Filed under: uncultured bacterium
Lineage: Bacteria
Description: partial 16S ribosomal RNA
Rfam family: Bacterial small subunit ribosomal RNA
Source: RNAcentral